AAUGGAGGGGAAAACCCGACUAGCUAUUUCUGUUGACAACACGUGGCAGAGGCACAUCCAUGGAGUCAUCUUUAAGCAGCCCAAGGAUCUCGAUCUCAGGUUGAGAAGCCCCGAGGACAACCAAGAGCUUUCUUAGCCAACCAUUCUGCUCCCUAUAUAAAUGCUUUGGGUUCUCGACAACACUCUCCCUCCAUCUUAUGAACCAACAACUUGCUUCCAUCAAUAUAUAGACAGACACGAAUAUACUUCUUUUUGUCGGUUUAAUUUCCAUUCACAACAUCCGGGCACAAUGGCUACAAUGUCUUGCAACACUGGAUGAACAACUAUACAUACAACAGCGUGAAUACAGAGUAGAUGCAAUUGGUUCAGUUCUUUUUCGGGUGACGGGGGAAACUCGCAACCAUUAUCCGAGGGUGUGCACUGAGUAAACCCCGCCUUGUAGCUCUAGCAGACAAAAGGUCACAAGGAGGUAAACCAGCCUAGGUUGCUUGUAGUUGACCGACUCAAACUAAGAUGACUGAGAUUCAAACUUGCGACCUUGUGGUUACAAGUUUGUAUUGUAUGUACAGAUGGUGUGAGCCGCCUUGUGCUCAAGGGAUUAUAUUAUAUUAAUGCCUAUGCCAGAGAAUGAUACUUUUUUCAUGAUCAUGGCCUUUGCUGCUGUAGUCCUUCACAUACUGCCUGACGCAUUCCAGACCUUAAAAUCCCUUAAGGAAAUACUAUGUGUACUCUUAUUCUCUACUCCCACACUCAAAAUCUUGAGGUAAACACUUGUAAUGGGGCCCACAUGAAAAUAAUAAUAAUUUAUUA
Molecule: long non-coding RNA, 810 nt
Organism: Ipomoea nil (Japanese morning glory)
Lineage: Eukaryota; Viridiplantae; Streptophyta; Magnoliopsida; Solanales; Convolvulaceae
Exons: 2
Source: RefSeq, a predicted model, not a curated record